AUGAAAUUGAAGAAAAUGAAAAGAGAAGGCUAAGGAGUGAAGGAAGAUAUCAUCUCAACCUUUUUGUUGUACAGUUUGACUCGGAGAGGUAAAGUCAGGAUAGAAGAUCUCUCAUCUCAUCACAUCUUCAAGAGCUUCAGAAGUAGGUACCAUAUUUUGAAUUAAAAUGGCAUGUACAUAGACAGUCAGUUAUGCUUCCAUGUGUUAGGAAUUAAAAUGUAAACUCUUGGACUUCUAUCUAUUUUUAGGUAUUUUACGUAUUUUGGUAUAUAUAUAUAUGAAAUGAAUUAGUAAAACUAUAUGUAUGUUUGCAAAUAUGGUUGGUAAGUUAUAAUGCUAUGUAUAAAUAUUCUAUUUAAAUAA
Molecule: long non-coding RNA, 363 nt
Organism: Gossypium raimondii (Peruvian cotton)
Lineage: Eukaryota; Viridiplantae; Streptophyta; Magnoliopsida; Malvales; Malvaceae
Exons: 2
Source: RefSeq, a predicted model, not a curated record